Molecule: ribosomal RNA, 700 nt
Filed under: uncultured Staphylococcus sp.
Lineage: Bacteria; Bacillati; Bacillota; Bacilli; Caryophanales; Staphylococcaceae
Description: bacterial SSU rRNA
Rfam family: Bacterial small subunit ribosomal RNA
Source: RNAcentral
AAGUCGAGCGAACAGACGAGGAGCUUGCUCCUCUGACGUUAGCGGCGGACGGGUGAGUAACACGUGGAUAACCUACCUAUAAGACUGGGAUAACUUCGGGAAACCGGAGCUAAUACCGGAUAAUAUAUUGAACCGCAUGGUUCAAUAGUGAAAGACGGUUUUGCUGUCACUUAUAGAUGGAUCCGCGCCGCAUUAGCUAGUUGGUAAGGUAACGGCUUACCAAGGCGACGAUGCGUAGCCGACCUGAGAGGGUGAUCGGCCACACUGGAACUGAGACACGGUCCAGACUCCUACGGGAGGCAGCAGUAGGGAAUCUUCCGCAAUGGGCGAAAGCCUGACGGAGCAACGCCGCGUGAGUGACGAAGGUCUUCGGAUCGUAAAACUCUGUUAUUAGGGAAGAACAAAUGUGUAAGUAACUAUGCACGUCUUGACGGUACCUAAUCAGAAAGCCACGGCUAACUACGUGCCAGCAGCCGCGGUAAUACGUAGGUGGCAAGCGUUAUCCGGAAUUAUUGGGCGUAAAGCGCGCGUAGGCGGUUUUUUAAGUCUGAUGUGAAAGCCCACGGCUCAACCGUGGAGGGUCAUUGGAAACUGGAAAACUUGAGUGCAGAAGAGGAAAGUGGAAUUCCAUGUGUAGCGGUGAAAUGCGCAGAGAUAUGGAGGAACACCAGUGGCGAAGGCGACUUUCUGGUCUGUAACU